RNAcentral lists this ribosomal RNA (465 nucleotides) under uncultured bacterium. RNAcentral's name for it is "partial 16S ribosomal RNA". It matches the Rfam family "Bacterial small subunit ribosomal RNA", at positions 338 to 795 of the family's 1533-position model. The record is from RNAcentral.
CCUACGGGAGGCAGCAGUGGGGAAUAUUGCGCAAUGGGCGAAAGCCUGACGCAGCGACGCCGCGUGAGGGAUGAAGGUCUUCGGAUCGUAAACCUCUGUCAGCAGGGAAGAACGGUCACUGUGCUAAUCAGCAGUGACUUGACGGUACCUGCAAAGGAAGCACCGGCUAACUCCGUGCCAGCAGCCGCGGUAAUACGGAGGGUGCGAGCGGUAAUCGGAAUUACUGGGCGUAAGGCGCUCGUAGGCGGUAUGUCAAGUCAAGGGUGAAAUCCCCGGGCUCAACGUGGGAACUGCCUUUGAAACUGGCAAACUGGAGUGUGUGAGAGGAUAGUGGAAGUCCAGGGGUAGGAGUGAAAUCCGUAGAUAUCUGGAGGAACAUCAGUGGCGAAGGCGACUAUCUGGCACAUAACUGACGCUGAGGAGCGAAAGCGUGGGUAGCAAACAGGAUUAGAUACCCCUGUAGUC